This 449-nucleotide ribosomal RNA is filed under the name uncultured bacterium. Its description in RNAcentral is "partial 16S ribosomal RNA". It matches the Rfam family "Bacterial small subunit ribosomal RNA", at positions 329 to 795 of the family's 1533-position model. The record is from RNAcentral.
AUCCAGACUCCUACGGGAGGCAGCAGUGGGGAAUAUUGCACAAUGGGGGAAACCCUGAUGCAGCGACGCCGCGUGAGUGAAGAAGUAUUUCGGUAUGUAAAGCUCUCUCAGCAGGGAAGAAAAUGACGGUACCUGACUAAGAAGCCCCGGCUAACUACGUGCCAGCAGCCGCGGUAAUACGUAGGGGGCAAGCGUUAUCCGGAUUUACUGGGUGUAAAGGGAGCGUAGACGGCAUGGCAAGUCAGAUGUGAAAGCCCGGGGCUCAACCCCGGGACUGCAUUUGAAACUGUCAGGCUGGAGUGCAGGAGAGGUAAGUGGAAUUCCUAGUGUAGCGGUGAAAUGCGUAGAUAUCAGGAGGAACACCGGUGGCGAAGGCGGCCUGCUGGACUGCAACUGACGUUGAGGCCCGAAAGCGUGGGGAGCAAACAGGAUUAGAUACCCCGGUAGAA